AUACGUAGGGGGCAAGCGUUAUCCGGAUUUACUGGGUGUAAAGGGAGCGUAGACGGCGAAGCAAGUCUGAAGUGAAAGGACGGGGCCCAACCCCGGAACUGCUUUGGAAACUGUUUGGCUGGAGUGCGGGAGGGGUAAGCGGAAUUCCUAGUGUAGCGGUGAAAUGCGUAGAUAUUAGGAGGAACACCGGUGGCGAAGGCGGCUUACUGGACCGUAACUGACGUUGAGGCUCGAAGGCGUGGGGAGCAAACAGGAUUAGAUACCCUGGUAGUCCACGCGGUAAACGAUGAUCACUAGGUGUCCGUGGGUAUGACCCAUGGGUGCCGCAGCCAACGCAAUAAGUGAUCCACCUGGGGAGUACGGUCGCAAGAAUGAAACUCAAAUGAAUUGACGGGG
Molecule: ribosomal RNA, 396 nt
Filed under: uncultured bacterium
Lineage: Bacteria
Description: partial 16S ribosomal RNA
Rfam family: Bacterial small subunit ribosomal RNA
Source: RNAcentral